Molecule: ribosomal RNA, 386 nt
Filed under: uncultured bacterium
Lineage: Bacteria
Description: bacterial SSU rRNA
Rfam family: Bacterial small subunit ribosomal RNA
Source: RNAcentral
GACGAACGCUGGCGGCGUGCUUAACACAUGCAAGUCGAGCGGUAAGGCCCUUUCGGGGGUACACGAGCGGCGAACGGGUGAGUAACACGUGGGUGACCUGCCCUCAGCUCUGGGAUAAGCCUGGGAAACCGGGUCUAAUACCGGAUAUGACUCCAUGACGCAUGUUGUGGGGUGAAAGCCUUGUGCGGCUGAGGAUGGGCCCGCGGCCUAUCAGCUUGUUGGUGGGGUAAUGGCCACCAAGGCGACGACGGGUAGCCGGCCUGAGAGGGCGACCGGCCACACUGGGACUGAGACACGGCCCAGACUCCUACGGGAGGCAGCAGUGGGGAAUCUUGCGCAAUGGGCGAAAGCCUGACGCAGCGACGCCGCGUGAGGGAUGACGGCCU